RNAcentral lists this long non-coding RNA (7184 nucleotides) under Marmota monax (woodchuck). The record is from RNAcentral. Lineage: Eukaryota; Metazoa; Chordata; Mammalia; Rodentia; Sciuridae.
AGAAAGUGCGAGUCCUGGCGCUUUCCGGGUGGGUUCUCACGCUUCAAUAUCUGGCGGGGUUAGGGAACGCGAAAGGCAGUUUCGAAGAGAAGAGACAAGAUUUCGGCUCCAGGAGCACAAGUCUCGAGGGGAGACAGGUCUUGGCCUCCGGGAAUCCUCAGUCUGAAGCAGGAGACUGCCCUAUUCCGAGGAGUAACUAGGACACCCGCCUGAGCGGGGGAAGCAAGGGUCCUUCACGGAGCAGCUUCCGAAGGCGAGAGGACGCCUCGGGCAGGAGCUCCUGUGCGGAGGGACUCGGAGGCCGAGAGCCGGGCCGACCGCGGGGCAGGAAGUGGCUCCCACCCGGGACCCAGCACCUCGUCUCCUGACUUGGCGCCCUGACCCCCCCCCCUUUUUUUUUCUUUUGUUUGUUUUCCCAACAGAAGAAGAUGGCUCAAGACCGGCCUUUACUUGCUGUGCAGGAGGCCCUGAAGAAGUGCUUCCCGGUGGUGGAGGAGCAGCAGGGCCUGUGGGAGAGCACCCUGCGGGACUGCUCGCCGCUCCUGGCCUCCCUCAGCAACCUGGCAGAGCAGUUGCAGGCCGCGCAAAGCGUGCGGUUCCAAGAUGUGCCGGCGCUCCGGGCCUUCCCGGACUUACAGGAACGGCUGAGGCGCAAGCAGCUGGCGGCUGGGGACGUGGUCCUGGACAAGCUAGGGGAGAGGCUGUAAGGAUUUCCUCGGUGCCUUUUAGAAGGAUCUUUAAACUGGGCGCUUUCAAGUAGCUUGGGUGGAUCAGAAGAGUGUUUUUACUCGGGAGCAUGGCAUUUGAAGGUGUUUCGGCCCUUCCUUCUGUUGCGAAGGGACCACUGUCAAAAAGCCACUUUCUGGCAUUUCCCUUGUCAGAAGCCAGGCAUGUAGAAGAUACAAAAGCACAAAGGAAAAGGAGUGGAGAAGGCUUAUUAGCCCUUCUCUAUAGUUGUCUUUGGUAAAGGCAACAAGGAACUGGGCUUUAAGCUUAGCAGGUGCCAGAACUGAAGGUUUUACCUACAUUACCCAUAAAGUCCUUUAAUACCUCUGCGACUUAACCUCACUUCAUUCCAGUUUUUGCAAGUGAGGAAAUGGACUCAAGCAGGUUGCCCUUGGGCACACAUCUAGUAAAUAGUUGACUGGAUUCCAACCCCCAUCUUUUGAAACACCAAAGUCAGAGCUUUUUGUUUGUUUGUUUGUUUUUUAAGUCCAUCUUAAGAUAAAUAUAUAUUUAAAAUAUUUAUUUUUUAAUGGUAGUUGGACACAAUACCUUUAUCUUAUUUUAUUUGUAUAUGGUGCUGAGUAUCGAACCCAUGGCCUUGUACCUGCUAGGUGAGCUCUUGACUGCUGAGCCACAACCCCAGCGCCUAUGUUAUUUAUUUAUUUUUUGUGGUGCUUUGGAUUGAACCCAGUGCCUCACACAUGCUAGGCAAGCACUCUGCCCCUGAACUAUGGCCUCAGCCCUUUAAGUCCAUUUUUUAAUACCUUUAUUUAUUUAUUUAUUUUUUAUGUGGUGCUGAGGAUUGAAACCAGUGCCUCACACAUGCUAGGCAAGCACUCUACCACUGAGCGACAACCCAGCCCCAGAGCUCUUAACUAUUAUUUGUUUUGCUGUGCAUUGGUGUCUCUGUGCCCAGGAGUAGCAUGUCUAAAAGCUCUGGUUUUUGCCUUUUAACUGUUUUGUCUCUCAGUAACCAAAAGGUUAUUGAUUGAGAAGAGAUAGGAGACAGGGCAUAUGAGAGCCUGCCUUCCUAGAGGCACUUGUUUUCCUUUAGAUCAGUGGCUUUUAGAGUUUGACCAUGACCUAUAGGGUGAAAUACGUUUUGUAUCAUGGUCCACAUAAACACAUGCAUACAUAUAAACUGAAAUAUUCCACAAAACAAUGCUAUGAGUAUUACACUCUGAUAUUUUGUCUUCUGUUCUACAAGUCACAGACUACAAGUAAGCAGAUCUCACAGUAUGAAAAACAGCUUUUGAGAGAAUAAAUAUUGUUUUGAGAACUUUUUACUUCAAUUGAUUACAUAUUUGUGUGUGGGUGUUGGGUUGUUAUUCUGUUUUUUCAUUGUGAGUCAUGGUCAAACAUUUUUUUUCAUUUUUAAAUUUUUAUUAUAUAUGACAGCAGAAUGCAUUACAAUUCAUAGUACACAUAUAGAGCACAAUUUUUCAUAUUUCUGGUUGUUCAUAAAGGGUCAAAUAUUUUUGAAAGACACAGUACUAGGCUGGGAAAUGCCUUCUACUUUUGGAAGUUGUAGCCUUUGUCUUGAUGGCUGGAUCCUUUGGGGUCACCGAUGAAAUAAUAUUUACCAUAACCUAGACACUGCUCUAAGCACUUUAUAUGCAUUAUUGUGUUUAGUUUUUAAAAUAAUUUUAUUCACUCAUUGAUUUGUUGAAUAAGUGUUUGCUCUGUGUGCUAGUCUAGUUCUGUAUCGUGAGCAAAACAAGCUGUUUUUAUGCAUGGGGGAGAAUAAAUAACUUUCCACAGUAGUCUGUGCAUCCUGAGCCCACACUUGACUGUUCAAGAAUUUUCUAGAAAGGGUUAGGGAGCAUGUAGAUGGGAAUGGUUUGUUGCUUCAGUACCCUCUUUAUUCCCUUUUCUUGUACAUGGCUUGAGUCUGUGAGUAAGCAUUUGCUCUCCUUAGGUUAUUUAUUUUGUGGAGGGGGGCAGUGCUGGGGAUCAAACCUAGGGCCUUACACAUGCUAAGUAAGCAUUCUGCCUCUGAGCUUAACCCUCAGUCUAUCCUUAACCCCAGAAAUGUCCCUUAGUCUUUACUUUCUUUGGUAACCGGGCUUAUCCCACAGCUUUGAGAGCAAUAUAACUUCUUCAGCUCCCCAUUAUAAAGUUAUUUCUUAAUUCUCGAUCUACCUGUACCUCCAAAGCAAUAUCACCAAUCUCCUUAGCUCAUGUUCUCAUUUGGGGGUAGUUUUUCUGUGAGGGGAUAUUUGGCAAUGUCUAGAGACAUUAUUAUCAUGGUGGAGAUGGUGAGAGUGUGGUUUAUUUCUGUCCUCUGGUGGGUAGAGGCCAGGUGUACUGUUAAACUUCCUGCAUGUGUGAGGUGGCCCUCCACAAAACAGAAUCACCCAAUUCAAAAUGUCAAAGUGCCAGGAUUGAGAAGGCUUGCUGCGUACAUUUCUCAUAUUGCCUAAUGCAGAGACUCUUCCACAGAGCCACCCUCCUCAAGGUGCGUGACACGGUCAGCAGCCAUGUGGAGCAAGUGUUUCAGAUCUAUGAGCAACAUGCAGACGUGAUCGGCCUUGUUGCUGUUCUGCAGCCCUCGGCUGAGAGCCCUUCUGUGGCUGACAUGUUGGAAUGGUUGCAAGAUAUUGAGAGACAUUAUCGAAGUUCAUAUCCUUUGCAUACAUUCCAGAUAAGUGUUCAGAGAUAUUCCAAAGUCUCUUUAAUUUUCUAAUCACAAGUUUGGAUUCACUCUCUUUGGUUCUUGAACAUGGAUUCCUCUUUGAUUAUUCUUUAUUAUGAUUUCUCAAGUAAUUUGUAACUAGCUACUAUCUGCCAGUCACUUCUGUAGGUACUAGGAGACAGACAUUAAAAAAGGAAAAUAUAAGGAGCAUUUCAGAUGAUGAUGAGUGCUGUGGAGCAUAAAGCAGGGAAUGUGAAGUAUGAUGGUGGGUUGUGGUUUUAAAUAGAGUGGUCAGAGCAGGCAUCAUGAGAAAUGGACAUUUGAGCAAAGAUCAGAAGAGGGCAAGGGAGGAAGCUGUGUAGAUAUUUGGGGGAAGAGUAUUCCAGGCAGAGGGAACAUCAAAUGCAAAAGCCUGAGGUGAGAGUGUGCCUGGUAUGUUUAGGAAGUAGCCAGGAGGCCAGUGUGGCUAGAGCAGGGUAUGAGGGGAGUCUGCUGGGAGGUGAGGUGAUUGAGGAGGUGGCUGGACUUCUUAGGGCCGUGAAUGUCUUUGAAAGAAUUUUGGCUUUUACUUUGAGUGAAACAGAGAGCUAUUAGGUUUUCAAUAGAAAAGUAACAAGAAAAGAUAUAUGUUUUUAAUGUAACCAUGCUGACUGUUCCGAGGAAAGAGUUGGGGUGGUGGUGGGCAAGGGUGGAAGGAGAAGACUAGUUAGUUGAAGUUCUGGCUGUUUUGUCUCCAUUCUCACCUGAUACCUACAUCCACCCUCUGGCUUAAGUUUCUGCUUUCAUUGUUGUUGCUAGUCUUGAGCCUCAGUUUUCUGUAGAUGCCUCCAGCUGGAUUGCUUAAGAAAAUAAAAAGUCAAGCUCAAAGUUGAACUCUUCAAUCUAGCCCUCAAAUUCAACCCCCUUUCUUUUAUUUGUAGGCUCAAUGCUGUCCAUUCACCUGCUCUGGAAGUGUUAGGAUAGUCUUCUAUCUUUUCCUCUGUUUUCUCUUUCAGUUGCAGCAGUAGUAGUGAUGGUGCUAACAGUUUUAGUAAUGAUGCCAACAGCAGCAGGAGCAGACUUUACUGAGUACUUAGCAUGUGCUAAACUCUUUUCACAGGCACUUAUCAGGCACUUCAAUUCUGUUUCCCUGGUGCUUCUUUUACAGUCAGGUGGCACAUAACAAAUUUUGGUCAGCAGUGGUAUCACAUACCACAGAGGUCCCAUAGGAUUGUAUCACGUGGUGACGUCAGAACUGUCUUAGUUCGUGUAAGUGCACUCCAGGAUGUUUGCACAGGACGGCAUUACUUACAAUGCCUUUCUCAGAACAUAUCCCCAUCAGUAAGUGAUGUGUGACUCUUUUUCUCUCUAUUCCCUCUGCCACUUCCACAGUUUCUCUUUUGGAUUCUUAAUCACAUGUAGCCUUUGGCAGCCUUCUCUGUCUCUGACUUUUGCUCCUCUAAGCUGUCUCUCACUUCCUUGUAUCUUUAGGAAGUCUAGUUCUCAUCAGGUUGCUCAUACAAUAUGUGUCAGUAGCUUCUGCUGCUAGUAGGAUAAAGUUCAGAAUGCCUACCUUGUUCCUCGGUGUCUGUGUGUUCUGGCUCAACCCACCUUUCCUGCUAUGUGCCCUUCACCUGCCAGGCAUGCUGGAAAGUUCGCAGUUCCCUGAAGGCACUCCACACUUCUUCACUCCGUACCUUUGCUUAUGUGUUUCCUACCAGCUAAAAUGUUCCUGUGGUCCUCUAAAGUGGAUGUAUUUCCCCUUCAAACUUCUGCUGCGUUUGUCUUUUAUGUCACUUUGCUUGUUUUUAGUUUCUGGUUUUGUCCUUACAAAAGAUAGUCUAGGUUUCAGGGACAGUGUUUGAUUCUUGUUUUCUGGUGUCUCAAGCCAUAUUAUUAGAGUUGAUUAGAAAAUAUUGUGGCACAGUCUAAUCCCACUCCUCCCCCCCAGAGAAAUGUAACAAUGGCUCUACAUUGACUUUAUAGUUCCCAAAGCUUUCAUGAGGUACCUUUCCCCCACUUCAGCAUUAUUCCUUUUCUUUUUGAGCAGUCCUUAACUUCCAGGAAAGUAUCUGAAGAGAAAGUAUCUCUUUUCCUCCAUCCAGUGGGGAGACUUGGCAGGUAUCCAAGCAUUGCCCAAGGCCUGGGACCAAAUUUCAGCAGAUGAACACCAAGAUCUUGUACAAGGUACUAUUUUUUAAAUUCCUUCUUAUUUCCUCUCCUCCUUCCCUGUGCCUCUUUGGAGACAUUAGAGAGAUGCCCUUGUUGUGCUCUAUAUCUUUAUAAAUCUGGUGUUUAUGUUCUCUGGAGAGGUGAUAUGCCAGUUUUCCCUCUUCCUAUUCCAGAUAUCCUACUGAAUGUUUCCUUCUUCCUGGAAGAGUAAGGAAACUUCACGUUUAUGUGGAGACCAGAAGCACCACAGUUGAAGACUGACAUUGCUGCACUGUGAUAUUUCUAAAGAAACAUCAGCAUAACAACCUGACAUGUUUGAAAUAUCAAUGCCUAAAACCCAAGGACUGGGUCCUGAGAGGAUUGAUGGUAAAUGUCUCUGGGGCUUCUCCAUGCCAGACCGUGCCAAGGGUUCCUGGGCCAUUGCUUGCCCUUCCUGAGGUUCAGGGCAAUGGAGGAGAUAGAGAGAAAGCAGGAAAGGCAGUACUGAUAAACCUGUCUGUAUCAUAAGGACCAAGCAGCAGGGAGGGAAAGGACAGGAGAUAAAGGGCAGAAGUCACCUGUGGCAUUAUCUGAAGCACCAAGUCUGACUGAUAUCGGAUCCUGGCUUUGUGUCUGUACUUGACACCUUGAAGAACGAAAAAGAGGUUUUGAUGAUUUAAAGGAGUAAGGAUAUGGCUGGGGGGGGUAUGGUUCAGUAGUAGAGCUUGUGUUUGGCAUGUUUGAACCCCUGGCUUCAAUCCCCAGCACCAAAAAAAUAAAAAAUAAACUAAGAAGAAAAGAGAGAAGGAUGACAGGUUGCAGUAGUUUCUUAUCAAGUGAUUUCCAUUUCCAAAGCCUGCCACCAGGGGGAGGUGGUGCAGUAUGAAUUGUCUGGUUGCUUUUGUCUUGGAGAGCAGAUCUCCUGUUGCUGUUACCAUCUGAGAGAAAAUAACUGGGGAAAGUGAGACUUCCAAAAAGACAGGGUGUUUUUGGCCAAAGGUGGCAUCACACUUGCCACAUUUUUUUGAGUUGGAGUAGCUGCAUGGGUGGGAGAGAGCCAGGAUAGGCAGGUGACUGGAGUGUGGGACUAAGGGCCCUGGCCUUCAUGUGUGCAAUGAUUGUGUGCCUGUGGAAGUCUCAUGACUGACAUAAAGGGACUUAGUAAGGAGUAGAGAUAUUUUUCAAAAUGAAAAUGGCUGUUUAUUUUUUUAUUACCAUGCUUUUUAAAAAGAUUGUAAGAAAACUAGGAAAAAAUUUAAAAGGUAUAAAUAAAUUAACUCCACCAAAGGCAUUUUGGUAUAUGUUCCUUUAGGGGCAACUUACAAUUUUUUUUUUUUUAAGCAUGAUACCAUCAAUAUAUACUGUUGUCUUUUAAAACAUUAUAGCAUGGCAUUUUUUCAUAUAUGUAAAUAUACCUCAGCACAAUUAUACACCAUUGUAUGUAUCAUAUACCAUUUUGUGAAUGUUAUAAAUUUUACAUUUCAUCUUACAUUUUACAUAGUUUUCUAAAUCUUUUGUGUUUUUCUACCUAUAAAGGUAAUACAUUCUGAUUGUAGAAAAAUUGAAGUAUUGCAUAGAAAUAUACUUUGUCCACUUACCAAAUAACUAGUAUUAAUAAAAUGGUAUUUUAUUCCUCCAGUAAUUAAAAAAAUCUGUCAUAUACAUAAUUAUUAUAAAUAAAACUUAGAAAACA